RNAcentral lists this long non-coding RNA (526 nucleotides) under Sinocyclocheilus anshuiensis. RNAcentral describes it as "lncRNA (ENSSANG00000005340.1)". Lineage: Eukaryota; Metazoa; Chordata; Actinopteri; Cypriniformes; Cyprinidae. The record is from RNAcentral.
UGCGUGCGUGCGUGUAUGUGCAUGUGCAUGUGCAUGUGCAUGCGGGUUCACCUGUGGUGGUGAGUUCUGGUUAAGUCAAGUGAUCUAGAGGUGUGUGGGUGACCAGAACUUUCAACCCACCUGCGGCUCAGCGCUGUGACUCAUCCACACUUGCUGCUUUCUUCUGAUCUACUGUCACGUGAUGCCCUGAAGUCAUGGACCUGAGCCAUAUUUACAGACCAGACUAUCAGGGUGCAGGACUCUUAUGGCCCGGACCGAUGAGUCUUUAAAAUCUCUACAUCAGUGUGGACGGCUGGACGCAGGACAGAUCUGCUGUUUGAUGAGUUUAUUUGGAGCUGUAGACAAGAAUGGAGAAGAUAAAGACUGAUUAUCCAGGUGAGUGUGAUCACAGUGAGCCUUCGAGGAGCCUUCAUGUCACAGCAUCAGGACCGCAGCAUCACGGCUGACAGCGGCGGCUCUCCCAGCAGCUCGCGGAAAGGUUAGACGGAUCAGACGGGAUGAGAGUUUACAGUCAGAGAGGGGGACA